This 72-nucleotide transfer RNA is filed under the name Triticum aestivum (bread wheat). It matches the Rfam family "tRNA". Rfam says of the family: Transfer RNA (tRNA) molecules are approximately 80 nucleotides in length. Their secondary structure includes four short double-helical elements and three loops (D, anti-codon, and T loops). Lineage: Eukaryota; Viridiplantae; Streptophyta; Magnoliopsida; Poales; Poaceae. The record is from Rfam by way of RNAcentral.
GUGGCUGUAGUUUAGUGGUGAGAAUUCCACGUUGUGGCCGUGGAGACCUAGGCUCGAAUCCCAGCAGCCACA